UACGGAGGGGGCAAGCGUUGUUCGGAAUUAUUGGGCGUAAAGGGCAYGUAGGUGGUCUAGUUAGUUAAARGUGAAAURCCAGGGCUUAACCYUGGAGCUGCUUUUAAUACUGCUAGACUGGAGUCCGGGAGAGGAUAGCGGAAUUCCUAGUGUAGAGGUGAAAUUCGUAGAUAUUAGGAGGAACACCAGUGGCGAAGGCGGCUAUCUGGUCCGGUACUGACACUGAGGUGCGAAAGCGUGGGGAGCAAACAGGAUUA
This 257-nucleotide ribosomal RNA is filed under the name Anaplasma bovis. RNAcentral describes it as "partial 16S ribosomal RNA". It matches the Rfam family "Bacterial small subunit ribosomal RNA", at positions 524 to 780 of the family's 1533-position model. The record is from RNAcentral. Lineage: Bacteria; Pseudomonadati; Pseudomonadota; Alphaproteobacteria; Rickettsiales; Anaplasmataceae.